AUGCACGCUGGCGGCGUGCUUCACCCCUGCCAGUCGCACGGAAAGGCUCCUGCUUGCAGGGGUACUCGAGUGGCGAACGGGUGAGUAACACGUGGGUGAUCUGCCCUGCACUUCGGGAUAAGCCUGGGAAACUGGGUCUAAUACCGGAUAGGACCACAUUUUGGAUGGUGUGGUGGAAAGUUUUUCGGUGUGGGAUGAGCUCGCGGCCUAUCAGCUUGUUGGUGGGGUAAUGGCCUACCAAGGCGUCGACGGGUAGCCGGCCUGAGAGGGUGUACGGCCACAUUGGGACUGAGAUACGGCCCAGACUCCUACGGGAGGCAGCAGUGGGGAAUAUUGCACAAUGGGCGCAAGCCUGAGGCAGCGACGCCGCGUGGGGGAUGACGGCCUUCGGGUUGUAAACUCCUUUCGCUAGGGACGAAGCGUUUUUGUGACGGUACCUGGAGAAGAAGCACCGGCUAACUACGUG
Molecule: ribosomal RNA, 466 nt
Filed under: uncultured bacterium
Lineage: Bacteria
Description: partial 16S ribosomal RNA
Rfam family: Bacterial small subunit ribosomal RNA
Source: RNAcentral